AGCGAACGCUGGCGGCAGGCUUAACACAUGCAAGUCGAGCGGGCACUUUCGGGUGUCAGCGGCGGACGGGUGCGUAACGCGUGGGAACGUGCCCUCUGGUUCGGAAUAACUCAGGGAAACUUGAGCUAAUACCGGAUACGCCCUUUUGGGGAAAGGCUUGCUGCCGGAGGAUCGGCCCGCGUCUGAUUAGCUAGUUGGCGAGGUAACGGCUCACCAAGGCGACGAUCAGUAGCUGGUCUGAGAGGAUGAUCAGCCACACUGGGACUGAGACACGGCCCAGACUCCUACGGGAAGCAGCAGUGGGGAAUAUUGGACAAUGGGCGCAAGCCUGAUCCAGCCAUGCCGCGUGAGUGAUGAAGGCCUUAGGGUUGUAAAGCUCUUUUAUCCGGGACGAUAAUGACGGUACCGGAGGAAUAAGCCCCGGCUAACUUCGUG
Molecule: ribosomal RNA, 435 nt
Filed under: uncultured bacterium
Lineage: Bacteria
Description: partial 16S ribosomal RNA
Rfam family: Bacterial small subunit ribosomal RNA
Source: RNAcentral